AAAAAAGGUAAGCUACUAAGAGCGAAUGGUGGAUGCCUUGACUGGUAAAGGCGAUGAAGGACGUACUAGACUGCGAUAAGCUACGGGGAGCUGUCAAGAAGCUUUGAUCCGUAGAUUUCCGAAUGGGGCAACCCAAUGUAUAGAGAUAUACAUUACCUAUAUAGGAGCGAACGAGGGGAAUUGAAACAUCUUAGUACCCUCAGGAAAAGAAAUCAAUAGAGAUUGCGUCAGUAGCGGCGAGCGAAAGCGCAAGAGGGCAAACCCAGUGCUUGCACUGGGGGUUGUAGGACUGCAAUGUGCAAGAGGUAAGUUUAGCAGAACAUUCUGGAAAGUAUAACCAUAGAGGGUGAUAGUCCCGUAUGCGAAAAACAAACCUUAGCUAGCAGUAUCCUGAGUAGGGCGGGACACGAGGAAUCCUGUCUGAAUCCGGGUCGACCACGAUCCAACCCUAAAUACUAAUACCAGAUCGAUAGUGCACAAGUACCGUGAGGGAAAGGUGAAAAGAACUGAGGUGAUCAGAGUGAAAUAGAACCUGAAACCAUUUGCUUACAAUCAUUCAGAGCCCUAUGUAGCAAUACAGGGUGAUGGACUGCCUUUUGCAUAAUGAGCCUGCGAGUUGUGGUGUCUGGCAAGGUUAAGCAAACGCGAAGCCGUAGCGAAAGCGAGUCUGAAUAGGGCGCUUAGUCAGAUGCUGCAGACCCGAAACGAAGUGAUCUAUCCAUGAGCAAGUUGAAGCUAGUGUAAGAACUAGUGGAGGACUGAACCCAUAGGCGUUGAAAAGCCCCGGGAUGACUUGUGGAUAGGGGUGAAAGGCCAAUCAAACUUCGUGAUAGCUGGUUCUCUCCGAAAUAUAUUUAGGUAUAGCGUUGUGUCGUAAUAUAAGGGGGUAGAGCACUGAAUGGGCUAGGGCAUACACCAAUGUACCAAACCCUAUCAAACUCCGAAUACCUUAUAUGUAAUCACAGCAGUCAGGCGGCGAGUGAUAAAAUCCGUCGUCAAGAGGGAAACAACCCAGACUACCAGCUAAGGUCCCUAAAUCUUACUUAAGUGGAAAACGAUGUGAAGUUACUUAAACAACCAGGAGGUUGGCUUAGAAGCAGCCAUCCUUUAAAGAAAGCGUAAUAGCUCACUGGUCUAGUGAUUUUGCGCGGAAAAUAUAACGGGGCUAAAGUAAGUACCGAAGCUGUAGACUUGCGCACAACUUAGAUUAUUUAAGUUUAGAAUAUGAGAAACUAAGUUAUAUGUUUAGUUAUAUUUUUACUGAUUUUUAUAGAGUAAAGAUAGAAAUAAAACUUAGUAAAAUCAGUAAAAAUAUUCUUAGACUAAAGUUAAGUAGUUUAAGUUGUGUGCAAGUGGUAGGAGAGCGUUCUAUUUGCGUCGAAGGUAUACCGGUAAGGAGUGCUGGAGCGAAUAGAAGUGAGCAUGCAGGCAUGAGUAGCGAUAAUUAAUGUGAGAAUCAUUAACGCCGUAAACCCAAGGUUUCCUACGCGAUGCUCGUCAUCGUAGGGUUAGUCGGGUCCUAAGUCGAGUCCGAAAGGGGUAGACGAUGGCAAAUUGGUUAAUAUUCCAAUACCAACAUUAGUGUGCGAUGGAAGGACGCUUAGGGCUAAGGGGGCUAGCGGAUGGAAGUGCU
RNAcentral lists this ribosomal RNA (1633 nucleotides) under Campylobacter coli. RNAcentral's name for it is "partial 23S ribosomal RNA". It matches the Rfam family "Bacterial large subunit ribosomal RNA", at positions 1 to 1508 of the family's 2925-position model. The record is from RNAcentral. Lineage: Bacteria; Pseudomonadati; Campylobacterota; Epsilonproteobacteria; Campylobacterales; Campylobacteraceae.